RNAcentral lists this ribosomal RNA (274 nucleotides) under uncultured bacterium. RNAcentral describes it as "partial 16S ribosomal RNA". It matches the Rfam family "Bacterial small subunit ribosomal RNA", at positions 523 to 796 of the family's 1533-position model. The record is from RNAcentral.
AUACGGAGGGUGCGAGCGUUGUUCGGAAUUAUUGGGCGUAAAGAGCAUGUAGGCGGUCUGUUUAGUCUGGUGUGAAAGCCCGGGGCUCAACCCCGGAAGUGCAUUGGAUACUGGCAGACUUGAGUAUGGGAGAGGAAAGCGGAAUUCCGAGUGUAGGAGUGAAAUCCGUAGAUAUUAGGAGGAACACCAGUGGCGAAGGCGGCUUUCUGGACCAAUACUGACGCUGAGAUGCGAAAGCGUGGGGAGCAAACAGGAUUAGAAACCCGGGUAGUCC